GUGCCAGCAGCCGCGGUAAUACGUAGGGUGCGAGCGUUAAUCGGAAUUACUGGGCGUAAAGCGUGCGCAGGCGGUUUGCUAAGACCGAUGUGAAAUCCCCGGGCUCAACCUGGGAACUGCAUUGGUGACUGGCAGGCUAGAGUAUGGCAAAGGGGGGUAGAAUUCCACGUGUAGCAGUGAAUUGCGUAGAGAUGUGGAGGAAUACCGAUGGCGAAAGCAGCCCCCUGGGCCAAUACUGACGUUCAUGCACGAAACCUGGGGAGCAAACAGGAUUAGAUACCCUGGUAGUCC
Molecule: ribosomal RNA, 291 nt
Filed under: uncultured microorganism
Description: partial 16S ribosomal RNA
Rfam family: Bacterial small subunit ribosomal RNA
Source: RNAcentral